Molecule: long non-coding RNA, 14942 nt
Filed under: Malus domestica (apple)
Lineage: Eukaryota; Viridiplantae; Streptophyta; Magnoliopsida; Rosales; Rosaceae
Description: long non-coding RNA (MDOM_LNC008013)
Source: RNAcentral
CUUGGUCUAUGACGACAGGGUUUUUAACAUUGUCCAUGAUAAUAUCCUCAAAGUGAACGUCUGAGACAGCAGUACCCUUUGCAGGGGAAGCAGGCCAGGUUUUGAUCCUUACACCAUUAUCGGUAUUUGUAAUUGUGCAGUUCUUGAUAAAGAUUCCGGACACAGGUUCUUCAUCCUCAGUCCUUCCAAGGCUUCCGAUGCUUAUGCCGUGGCCUGGUCCGCAUGUAACGUUGGUUACAUGGAGUUGCUUGGUGCCAUGACCUAUAGAGAUGCAAUCAUCCCCAGUUCCAAUGGUUGUAUCUGUGAUGUUGAUCUCAGUUGAACGUCCCAUAUGAAUUCCAUCUGUAUUGACACUUUCUUUAGGCGCUGAUACUGUAAAAUCUUGGAAUGCCAACUUGUUGCAACCCAAAAGAUUUACGUGGAAAUUUUUGCUGUCUUUUGUUGUUAUUCCUCGAACUAUGGAAUUGGUGAUAAAAUUGAACCUCAAAUUCUGCGAAUAGUGUAAAAACAGUUCAAACAUAUUAAGACGAGUAAUGUCUCUUGUCAAAGUUAUGUUGUCAAGAAAAUUUUUAUAUUGUCACACUGAAUCAAAAUAACAAAUUAUCCACAUGAUCCAAGAUUUAGAUUCACUACCUAAUAUAUUCUCUUUUCACACGUAUGGCUCCGGCUGUCAGGCACCAUAUAUAUAUAUAUAUAUAUAUAUAUAUAUUAGAAGAGUAUGAUCAGCCGUUUAGUUUCACAAUCUAGCAAUUGAUUUAAAUUAUAAAAGAACAAGAUUUAAAUUAUCUUACAACAGCUUUAAAUUUGCAAUCUUUGUUUUUGUGGCAAUCAUUUUGCUUCCAAGCAGUUGCUCCUUGGCCAUCGAAAGUUCCACCGCCAGAUAAGGUGAGCCCAUCAAUGCGCUCAAAAGCUACCCAAGUAUCUUCUUUUGGGAGUUCCUUGAUAUGUUCCGGAGCCUGCAGUGUGCCUUGGAGCUGAAACUCAAUAGGACCUUUGCAUGGUCCUUUGAAAGUUGCCCCUACAAACUUGUAUGUCCCACUUGGAACAACAAUUUUACUUGCCGAUGUCGAUGCACAUGCAUCUGUCCAAGCUUUGCUCAAAGCCUAAUUAAAAACAUUGUAUAAAAAUUAAAAAUUGAAAUGAUUCGCUUUAAUUACCAAACAAUUCUAGAAUGGAAAUGAUUUUCCGCUUAUUCAUACUUUUUCCCAUGCAUAUUUAUUUCUUACUUUAAAUUAAACAAAUCAAAAGAAAAAUAAGAAUGUUCAAAAUCUAAAAAGUGCGUACGGAAGUAAUUUCUCUUCUAGUUAGAAAUAUUAGUUUAGCAUUUCAAGAAGAAUUGCAUAAGCAUAUAUAAUGCCUACCUGGGUUAUAUCAGAGUUUGCUUUUCCACCAUAAUUUGCACCUGUUACAUCAUAGACACCAGAUUGGGCAUUAGAUGAGGAUACUAACAACAAGAACACAAACAUUGACAAGAUAUUUUUCAGCUUCAAAUCCAUCUUGAGUUUUCAAUUCAGAAUGAGUUUCUUUCGUUUGGAAGUUUGAUGAAAACUUUAUUUUGGUUUCAUCGCAAUUUUAUACUUAGACUGGAAAGCUUAACGUCCUCAAAUUAUUUAGCUAAUUACUAGCUAGUUUUAUGGAAGGUGCCUUACCCCCAAAAACCGUGCACGAAAAAAACUAGCAGCCGUUGAAUAGUAAAAAUAUCUCAAAAUUUCUUCAAAAGAAAGGCUUAAUUACGAGCUUGAAAUUUCCUCACUCAGAAUAUUUCUUCCAAGAAACAAGGAAGUAGCCCCGAAUUAAGAUGUUUAAUUGCAGUGUAGUUCAAGAAUUAUAUCCUAUCAUUAGUAAUUAAUUAAGCUGCUUAUAGAACAUCAAUUACCACUACUAUGUAUGGCCCUAGGUUAGUUCAGUAUCAAUUACCACUUCAACAUAUAGUUCUCCAUGCUUUCUCCCCAAGUCAGUACUCGAAUUGUUUCUUCUAAGCAAACCCUAGUUGCUGCAGCCACCAGCACCCUGAUCAACGCCAACUCCACCACCGCGACACACCUACAACUUGUUUUAACUUUACGGCGUGACUUGUGGGAAUCCUCACAAUAAUAGUUUUAAACCUUAUCAUAGCAUGGAAACAAUACAAAGACAAAUUGGUACAUCAUUUUACUUGCUAGAUGGCACAUCUCGGUGUCUCCCUUUAUAGUCUACCUCUUCACUGACCGCAAAUUGGUACAUCACUUUACUUGCUAGAAAGACAAAGACAAGAGCAUCUACUAUGACGUACUCAUGCAAGUCUCGUUUUCUUUCUAAAGGAGUUUCUCUCCAUGACUAACGUUGUCGCUAACGGUUGUACCAAGAUCCCAUUCGUCUGAAGAAUUAGAAGCUUGCGUGCCAGUGCUUCUGCCUCGUUGGUGUUAAUUUGUCAAGGAUUGAGUGGCGGCUGCUGUGGUUGAGGAUUUGAGGGAUGGAAUCGUGGGGUUCAAUGUGGCAGUGCAGGGUCGUUUUAGGGUGGAAAGAGGAUCGCAUUCCGUGGCUAGGCUUGCAUGCAUCAAAAUUUCAACGAAAUAAAUAUUUACCAAUACAUUAAAUUUCGACAUGCCUGAGCUUAUGGGGCAUGCACCGAGGGUCGCACAAAUCGUACACGUGACAUGUGACUCAUCAAAACCAGACAAGUCAUCAAGUGACAUGUGUUGACACUUGACGGAAAGUAAUUAAUGAAUUAUCUUUAUUAAUUCUUUGAUUAAUUUCAAUAUCAAAACAAAUUAAUUGAUUUAAAAUGCCAAAUCAUGAAAAAGCCCAAAAUUAAGUCUUGUGUUUCUUUCGUCAAUAAAUCAAGUCCACAAUCAAGACCAAAUCCAACAGUAGGCAAGACAUGGAAAGCCUAUAAAUACGUGGCUCUAAGACAAACCCUUGUGGCAUCCGUUCAUUCAAGAUUAAGUCAUCGCCACCAUUAAAUCAACAACAUCCACAUUUUUCAAACCAGGGAUUGAAAAAGUGGAUUCAAGUUUUGUAAAAAGAUUAUAACCCUAAAUUUAUUAAUACAAAUUAUUACUUUGUAAAAGUGUUCAUGUAUUAUUUGUCUAUAAAUCUUGAGUUUACAAGGCUAUUGAGGGUUGAUUGUGAUUUUGUCAGGGUUGAGAUGUCGAACAAUGGAACUGAUGGAGCCUUAUGUGGUGGAUCUUGUGUGGUGGAUCAAGUAAAUGUGAUGUGGAGGGUAAUUAAAAAUGAUCGUUCAUUUUUAUGUACUGCUUCAAACUAUGCCCGUGCUACUUUAUAUAUGUAUUACUCUUUUGACUUGUGAUGUGGCUCAAUUGAUUAAAAACAUCUACCCCAUACACCCGAGGUCAUAAGUUCUAUUUUCACUUCCCCCAAUGUUUCCUUGCCUAAAAAACUCUUGUAAAAGUCUAGGGUUCUAGUAAAUAAAUGUGACUACUUAAGUCCAUCAGUUACAAGGAAAUAACUAUCGUUAGAAGGUCUAAACAGACUAAACAGAGUGUCAUUGUAGACAUCGAAAUUUCGUAAAUAAAUGUUGACCGAUAAAUCAAAGUGUCAACGCUCAUGUAUUACAUAAAUUUUACACGUAGCGUGUGACUCAACGAAAAUUGAAAUGAGUUGGAAAAGUCAUCAAAUAGGACACGUGUCAACGCCUGGCAGAAACGACUUAUUUCAUCUGGAAUAUUAUAUUCAAAAUUAGGCCUUGGAAAAUUCUAUAAAUACAAGCCCAAUUUCAUUCAUUUGGGGAACCAAUUCAUAUUACACCUUGAAGCUCUGAAGCUCUGAAGCUCCGAAGCUCUCAAGCAUCCAGGUUCCCGAAGAAUCAAGAAAGCUCUCUUCGUUCUUCGUUCUUCGUCCAUCGCUCUUUCAAGAUCAAGCCCCGACGGCCCUUGAAGAAAGCACCAUCGUUCAUCAUCCGUUCUUCCAAGAUCAAGCCCCAACGGCCCCUUUGGAUCGACAACAUCAACAAAUCCGCUCAUCCGCUGUUCAUCAAGCCCAAGCCCCGACGGCCCUUGAAGAAAGCGUUCAUCGUUCAUCACUGUUAUUCGAGAUCAAGCCCAAAAGCCCUCGAAGAUCCGUUCAAGCCCAAAAGCUCUCGAAGAUCCGUUCAAGCCCAAAAGCUCUCGAAGAUCCGUUCAUCACUAUUCUUCGAGUUCAAGCCCAAAAGCCCUCGGAAAUCCGUUCAUCACUGUUCUUCAAGAUCAAGCCCAAAAAGCCCUUGAAGAUCCGUCAAUCACCAUUCUUCUUCAAGAUCAAGCUCAAAAGCCAUUGAAGAUCCGUUCAUCCUCGUUCAUCCAAGAUCAAGCCUCGACGGCCCUUGGAUCAAUCGCACAUCCCACAAAUCAACACCUUACGGAGAUCGAAUCAGAGGAUCAAAUUAGAGAGAGAUUGUAACCCAAAAUCAUCAAAUACAUAAUAUUUGUUUGUGCGCGUUUGUUCUUGUCUCUUUCGUUUCAGGAAUUUUCCGUGUUCACAAAUUGGCACGCCCAGUGGGACGAUCUCUGCCUCUCAUCUCUUUCUCCGUUCAAGAAAUUCAAGCACACUUCCAAAAUUAAUGGCAUCAAGGAAGGCUCAAACUGUUCCCGCAACCGGUGCAAAGAACAAAAGCGUCCUCGUCGCAACUGGUGUCACUUUGGGCAUCACGACUCGAAGCAUGGCAAGAGCUACUUCUGCCGCUCUUUCACCUCUGCAUCAAACUCUGCCAAGGGGAACAAAAGCACCCAAGGCACGAGCCUUUGAUCACCUUAGCCUCACUAAGGGCACCAAGGGGGGAAAGCCCAAGGAAAACACUCCGAAUCCAUGCUCUCCGAUGCCGAUUCAAGCGACAGUUCAGCCAUGCAAGUCAUGACCAUUGGAGCAACUUCAAUCGAUGAAGCAGCUGGCUCAAAUGAAUGAAGCAAUCGCAAGGCUAACCCGAACUGUGGAAGAAAAAGACUUGCAAAUUGCAGCACUAGUCAACCGACUGGAGGCGCAGGACGGCGAUAAACCCGACCCAGAAGAUGAUCCACUAAAGGGAGGAGCUGGCGGAGACGAAGAACCCCCGGUGAAGAAAAAUCGAUGGGAAGCCGGAGCCAGACCAAGCAGCGGCACUCAUGGGAUCUCUCUUUCUAUCCAGCAGCUGCAGGAGAUGAUCACCAACACCAUCAAGGCACAGUACGAAGGGAGCUCACAUACCUCCUUGUUCUACUCGAAGCCCUAUUCCAAGAAGGAUUGAUGCCCUAAAAAUGCCGAGGGGAUAUCAACCACCAAAGUUCAUGCAAUUUGAUGGAAAGGGAAACCCGAAACAGCACGUUGCCCACUUCGUUGAAACUUGCAACAACGCAGGAACCGAAGGGGAUUACCUCGCCAAGCAGUUUGUGCGCUCGCUGAAAGGAAACGCCUUUGAGUGGUACACAGACCUAGAGCCUGAGUCCAUCAACAGCUGGGAGCAGUUAGAGCGGGAAUUCCUCAACCGCUUCUAUAGUACCCGCCGCACUGUGAGCAUGCUAGAACUAACGAGCACAAAGCAGUGGAAGGACGAGCCAGUCAUUGACUACAUCAACAGAUGGCGCACUCUAAGCCUCGACUGUAAAGACAGGCUCUCGGAAACCUCUUCAAUCGAGAUGUGCAUCCAAGGCAUGCAAUGGGGUUUGCAAUACAUCCUUCAAGGCAUUAAACCACGGACCUUCGAGGAAUUGGCCACUCGCGCUCAUGACAUGGAGUUGAGCAUCGCUCAUCAUGGGAAGAAAGAACCGAUCGCCGACUACAAGAACGACAAAGUUCUUGGGACAAAGGUGGAAAAGGCUGCAUGGAAACCCACCAAGGAAGCGAUGACGGUCAACACAGCUCCCGUCAAAAUCUCCACACGAGGCAAGGCGAUUCAAACCGAAGCUUUUCGUGAUCAAGAGAUGCGUAGACGCACUUUGAAGGAGCUUGAGGAAAAGAUUUAUCCAUUCCCCGACUCUGAUGUAGUUGCCAUGCUGGAUGACCUGUUGGACAAAAAGGUGAUCAGUUUGCCUGAGUGCAGACGGCCGGAAGAGAUGAAUCGUACCGACAGUCCAAGGUACUGUAAAUUCCACCGCUUCAUCAGUCAUCCGACAGAAAAAUGUUUUGUGCUGAAAGAUCUCAUCAUGAAGUUGGCUCAGAAAGGAAUCAUCGAGCUAGAUCUGGACGAUGUGGUGAAGUCAAACUAUACCACCUUCACUUCUGGCUCUUCCGACUCAAAGUUUUCACCUCAACCGUUGGGGGCAUCCUCCAAGACAAGCAAAGUUGAAGGAUGGACUCAAGUCACUCCUAAGAAAUUGCACAAGAAGCAUACGUCUCCUCCACAAGUCCGCCAAUCGGAAAGGGGGCAAAGCAGCUCUUGUCAACCUUCGAAGCAACGUGAACGUGUUGAAGAUGAUGAAAUUUCGACAUAUAGAUCGUCCAUCCCCAUCACGAUGCGUGAUUUCUUGCCCGAAGACUUCUUCAAUCACUCGGUCAAGGCUCCUUGCUAUGAAGAUUGUGAGGAACGCCUCUCCAAAAUUGCUUGACAAAUUCACCAAAGCUCAUUGUCUGUAAGAGCCUAAACUGCAAGACACAAGGCUCCUCGCCCGCACGAGCCUAAACUGCAUGGCACUAUGCUCCUUGUUCGCACGAGCCUAAACUGCACGAACCAAAGCUCCUCGCCUGCACGAGCCUAAACUGCAUGGCACAAUGCUCCUGGUCUGCACGAGCAUAAAAGGCAACACCAACGCUCCUUGUCUGCACGAGUUGAAACUGCAAACGACACCAACGCUCCUUGCCUGCACGAGUUGAAACUGCAAACGGCACAAAAAGAAAAUACCAAGAAAAAAAAAAUAUGCAUGUAUUUGAACUACGUUACGACUUGAUCUCUUCUUUAGAGGGGUACGUAGGCAGCUUGAAUAUUCGAAAUUUCGAGUUCAAUCACAUCAAAAUCAAAAGAAUAAAUGUUUUAUUAAAGAAGGUCAAUUUCAUUACAAAUUUAUUUUUGUUAAGAAAAUUUGCAAUUUUCUUUGUACAAAAUUAAAUUACAGUUUCUUCGAAAAAAAAUUUUUGAAUACAUAUGUUAUUAUGUAUUUAGAAAAAAAAAAAAAAAAAGAAAAAAAAAAAGAGAAAAAAAAAAAGAGAUACAAUUUCUUCAAAAAAAAAAAAAAAAAAUACAUAUGUUAUUAUGUAUUUAGAAAAAAAAAAAAAACAAAAGAAAAGAAAAAAAAAAAUAUAUAUAUAUAUAUAAUAUAUGAGUGUCUCGGCCCAGCAGCAAAAGGGCUCAAGCCACAACGGGCCCAAACUCCAGCUUGUCUUCUUCCUCAUUUCUCCUUGGCCCACAGUGCAGCCCAGCAGAGCACACAACUCCAACCCCAUCUUCUAAUCACUCACUCAUCCCCACUGCCAGGACACCCAAAAGCAUUUCCCUUCAACUUCGUCGGCCUCCGCCGCCUCAACGACGUCGUCCUCUGGGAACUCCUCGUCGUCAAAUAACUACUUCAGUGCUGCUUCCGGGUCCACCCCAAGAUUUCCUAUGCCGUCUUCCACUCCCGUUGACCAUUGCCUCCGUCAAAUGCCGCACCAGGAGAUCGAUCUGCUGAAGAUCGUGAAGAGGUUUUUUGGAUCCGAAACCGGACUGUGGGCUCGGGUUGCAGCUACCGCUCAUUGAUCGCCUGCCCGAUGUGCUCAAGAACAGGCUCGAUCGCUCCAGGACGCCUUCGAUCUGGCAAUCCGGUCCCACGACUACGGCUCCCAUUACCAGGGCGUGUACCCGGUGAAAUGCAACCAGGACCGGUUCGUCGUGGAGGACAUUGUCAAGUUUGGAUCGCCGUUCCGGUUCAGACUGGAAGUCGGGUCGAAGCCGAAGCUCACUCCGUACGGUAACAGCCAUGUCUGUACAGACCGCCGCGUCUGCCGUAUCAUCGCCAGACCAUGCUGCCGAGAAAUGGUUUUCGGUGCCGGAGCUCCGACUCCGAGACCACCGAUUCACUGUGCCCCUUGACUACUCCGUCGAUCGUACCGCUUCGCCUAAGAUCUCAGUCUUCGCUCGCGAAGUUGUUUCAGUUAGUAAAGAAGAACAACAAUUGCCAUACCUAUUUAUAUCUACAAGGUGGACUUGGAUCUGAGGCCCCCGACCAACUAAAUCCAGUGGAUGGAUAUGUAAAGCAGGUGAAGAAUUUCGUGUUAUGUUGCUGGAUCAGCGAGGAACAUAGUUUAUUCGAGUACACCUUGUUUCUGAUGCUGCACCAUGGAUACGUAAAGCGUGUAAGAAGACGCUGGGGACGACAUGGGAUUUCUUUAGGAUGAGGGACGAGUAGAUGAAGCACCCCGUGCUUUCCAAUCAGCUCCACCACGCCACUCCUGGCCUCGGCAUCGCUCUCGUUACAUUCAGCGGUGAGCAGAUCUACGACCGCCUCAUAUCAAUGUUUUGAGGCACCAAAUAUCAACGUUUUCAGAAACCCGAGAUAGGGAGAGGGCAAGAGACACACAUGGCGAAGAUCCAACGGUCGCCGGAAGAAUUUCAUAGCUGUCGAGGCGGAGUUGGCGGCAGCCAAAAAGGCGUCUACAAAUAAGGAGAGUGGAAAAUCCUCUGUUCUUUUGGAUGUCAAGCCUUGGGACGAUGAGUCUGACAUGAAGAAGCUCGAUGAGGCUGUUCGGAGUGUCGAGAUGGAGGGUCUCUUCUGGGGCGCAUCGAAAUUGGUUUCCGUUGGUUACGGGAUCAAGAAGUUGCAGAUCAUGCUCACCAUUGUCGAUGACCUUGUUUCCGUCGAUGACCUCAUCGAAGACCAGCUUACCGUUGAACCCCCGCAUCGGCAACAUCAGCACGGGCAGUGCACUUCUGGACUCAAAGCUCAGCAACAGCGGCGGCGGCACCGGCAGCUUCGAGGUCGAGUCUCGGAAGCUCCCUUCCUCCAAGUACAAAAGCGUGGUCCCGUAGCCAAACGGACGCCAGGGCCCACAACGUUGCUGCACAACGCUUCCGUCGCCACAACGCCGGCAUCAACUUCGAGUCUUCAUCUACUGAACCCAGCUCCCGGUCUUAGCACUCCGCCUCGCCAAGUCCACCUUCAUCACUGCAGGAUCGUUCCCAAGCAGAAGUUGGUCCCCGCAAGGUUCGAGGUAAGGAUGUACUUGGGAAUGCCGUGGUGGCUGCUCUAAACACACUAUACAUCAAACAAAAAAAAAACUUGUGAAUGCAUGGGGCAACCCAAUCUCAAACACCAUCGAGCGGGACUCCUUCUCCGUCAUCUCCUGCUACUUCCAAAGCUGCACCGCUCCUCUUUGCCCAUCUUCCACCGCAGCUGCCAACGACUUCAACGACCGCCGUCAAACGACUAGCCGGUCGUGAAGCUCGAAGCACCAUCUUCUCCGUCCUCCUUGCUCCGCUGCCUGCAAAUUUCUUUACCCAUCAUCAACAUUUAUACAAAAAAGAUAUAUUAAAAAAAUAGGAUGGUGGAGCAAAGCAAAGUGGUGCAUCUGGCACCACGUGAAAAAAAAAGAGGAAUGGUGGAUCAAAGAUGGGGUACAGCCCCAUGGCAGAUCAAAAGUUUCUGGUGGUGCAUGGGCACCAUGUGCAGAAAGAAAGAAAGCAAAAAAAAUAAAUAAAAAAAUAAAUAUUGUAAAAAAAAAAAAAAUAAAUAAAUAAAUAAAUAAACAUAAAAAAAAUAAUAAUAAAAAAAAAAAUGAUGGAACUUGGUGCAUCCAGCACCAAAAGAAAAAGAAAAAAAAAAAACAAAUGCAUAGAGAGAAAUAGAAGGUCCAUUUUAUUUAUUUUUCUGGAAAUUAUACAUAAAAUUAAAAAAAAAAAAAUCAAAUCAAAUCAAAUUUACAAGAGGGGAUAUUCAAGGACGAUCAGGUGGCGCCUCACAACUCGGCAGAGCUCCAGGAAGAGAAGGCGUCAGAGGUUGGCUGUUUGAAGCCUCAGCAGUCGGUACAGCCCCAGAAGACGAAGGUAAAUGCUGCUGGAACAAACCCACAAACCUCCGAUGAUCAAGUAAGAUCUGACCAUCAGAUUCCUGCAUCUGGUCAAUUUUCCUCUUCAUGUUUGUGGCAUAGUUGUGUGCAAGCUUUGUGCAACUGUUUAUUCUCAUGCUUGAGCCCUCUGAUCUCCUGUUUGAGACUCAUCACUUCAGCCGCCAACGAUUCAACUUGACGGGUUCGAGCAAAUAGGCGUUGGGCCAUGUUGGACACAGAACCCGCACACUGCACACUUAGAGCCAGGGACUCCUUAACGGCCAACUCAUCAGACCGCCUGGAAAGUAGUCUGUUAUCUUUGGGAGUGACAAGGUUCCGGGCCACCACCGCAGCGGUCAUAUCAUUCUUCAUCACCGAAUCCCCAACAGUAAGAGGACCAGUAGGGGAUAUGAAGGAUGGGCGCCAUAUGUUAUCUGGAGAAGACGGGACUACCUCUUCACCAAGGUUCAAAUCAAAACGACGGUCGGAGGGACCAGACAUUUUCAAAGUGUUGAAGGAAGAAGAGAUCGGACAAAUCAAGAUCUUAGAAGUACAAGAGGGAAGUUUUCACAAGCGAAAAUUCAAGUGUGUUUUGAAACGAACUGCAUGCCUCUAUAAAAAAUCAGCACUCGACGGGAUUUCAGAGAUCGAAGAGGCGAGCUCAGAAUUCGAAGAGGCCAUUCAAAAAUCGAAGAGGCAAGCUCAGAAAUCGGAGAAGCAUCUUGCUUUUCCAGACGUGUCGGCACCCGUCACACGCAAACUCAGCGUUGCGGAAAUCACGGGUAAUUUGUCGAAGCGCCAAUCCCAGAUAUCGAAGAGGCGCCAGUCUUUUUCAGCCGAGUCAUCACCUGUCAUAUGCACACUCAACUUUGCGCAAAUCACGGGCAAUUUGUCGAAGAUUUUCGGUGAAAGAGAAAGCACGUGAAAUUUUACUGUUCAAUCACGCGUUAGUUGCCGACACGAGUGAAAGAAUAGUACCUCUACAAGUAUUAAAGAACUUCCUAUAACUGUCCAUCUUCACCCUCCAUAGCAAGGCAGACAUACAAAACCUUUCUUCAUCUCUGAGAAUGCCUUCCCAACGAAGCCUCUUGAGUUACCCAGUGUUCCUUAUUCCUUGGGGUACCUCUGCAAGCCAAUGACUCCAAAGCAAAAGUAUCUCAUAUCACCAGGGUAGAAAGCAAGAGUAUCUCAUAUCAUGCGUUCUCCCUGUCCUUUCCUUUAUCCUUGUUCUUACCUACAAAGACAAGGAUAAAGAAAACAAUAUGCCGGAACUUCCACUCAAACUCGGGUAAGGAACCGACUGCUUGGAACCCUUCCCUGAUUGCCUACCUAGCACUGCUCUCGAGUACUCGCCUUCCACUGCUGCUGUACUUUCAAAGAAGCUGCCACAUCUGCCUGAAGAACAGAUAAGGCAAGUGAAAAUGAUACCUUGCAGCAUGUGGAGACAAGGUGCAGAAGGAACAAGCAGAGAAGAAAGCGGUCUGCACGGUCAACUCAGCAGAAGGAGUCCGAACUGAGGAACUCAAGAAGCUGCCAUAUCUGCCUGAAGAAACAAGCAGAGAAGAAUGCAGCAUGCACAAUCAACUCAGCAGAAAGAGUCCGAGAUGAAGAACUCGAGAAGAUGUCGCAUCUGCCUGAGGACGAUGAACUUGUUUUGACCCUCAAAUUCUUGGGUCGACUUACUAGGCGUUGUGGGCUGCACGUGCCGAUUCACCACCCUUGAAUCGAAUCCUUAAAGAUCAAGUCACCAACUGGAAGAAGAGUUCAUCAAUCUUGAAGAUCAUACCGUUGACCAAACUGCUCAGGUGUGAAUUAGAAAGAUUGAACAAAGAAACAGGUUGUCACCUUUACCUCGUGCCUGCUUGCCAUGUGUUCCGAGUCAACCUUCAAGAAUCAAGCCUCAACGGCCCUUGAAGAAGUUUCCAGCCAAAUUCAAGAUCAAGCCUCGACGGCCCUUGAGGAAAUCACAAGUCCGAUUCAAGAUUAAGUGUCUACCACCCUUGAAUCAAAACCUAGUUCAAGAAUAAGCUGUGGAAAAUCAACAAUUGGAGGAAUCCAGAAAAUCCUUCCAACCCAGUUCAAGAUCAAAGCUGUGGAAAGUCAACAAGCGCAACAAAAUACGUGCCGAUUCAUCCAUUACCAAAGCCAAAGAUCAUCUACCACAUGAAGCUCCUUGUGGUCCAAAUUUCAACCUUCAAGAUCAAGCAUCGACGGCCCUUGAAGAAAUUUCAAACAACAAUUCAAGAUCAAGCCUCAACGGCCCUUGAAGAAAUCUCAAGCCCAAUUCAAGAUCAAGCCUCAAUGGCCCUUGAAGAAAUCUCCAGCCCAAUUCAAGAUCAAGCCUCGACGGCCCUUGGAUCGACAUCUACAGUAAGGGACUUCAAAACGCAUCUCCUACACGUGACAAGCACAUGUAUACGACGUGCCUUGAAGUGGGGGCAUUUGUAGACAUCGAAAUUUCGGUAAAUAAAUGUUGACCGAUAAAUCAAAGUGUCAACGCUCAUGUAUUACAUAAAUUUUACACGUAGCGUGUGACUCAACGAAAAUUGAAAUGAGUUGGAAAAGUCAUCAAAUAGGACACGUGUCAACGCCUGGCAGAAACGACUUAUUUCAUCUGGAAUAUUAUAUUCAAAAUUAGGCCUUGGAAAAUUCUAUAAAUACAAGCCCAAUUUCAUUCAUUUGGGGAACCAAUUCAUAUUACACCUUGAAGCUCUGAAGCUCUGAAGCUCCGAAGCUCUCAAGCAUCCAGGUUCCCGAAGAAUCAAGAAAGCUCUCUUCGUUCUUCGUUCUUCGUCCAUCGCUCUUUCAAGAUCAAGCCCCGACGGCCCUUGAAGAAAGCACCAUCGUUCAUCAUCCGUUCUUCCAAGAUCAAGCCCCAACGGCCCCUUUGGAUCGACAACAUCAACAAAUCCGCUCAUCCGCUGUUCAUCAAGCCCAAGCCCCGACGGCCCUUGAAGAAAGCGUUCAUCGUUCAUCACUGUUAUUCGAGAUCAAGCCCAAAAGCCCUCGAAGAUCCGUUCAAGCCCAAAAGCUCUCGAAGAUCCGUUCAAGCCCAAAAGCUCUCGAAGAUCCGUUCAUCACUAUUCUUCGAGUUCAAGCCCAAAAGCCCUCGGAAAUCCGUUCAUCACUGUUCUUCAAGAUCAAGCCCAAAAGCCCUUGAAGAUCCGUCAAUCACCAUUCUUCAAGAUCAAGCUCAAAAGCCAUUGAAGAUCCGUUCAUCCUCGUUCAUCCAAGAUCAAGCCUCGACGGCCCUUGGAUCAAUCGCACAUCCCACAAAUCAACACCUUACGGAGAUCGAAUCAGAGGAUCAAAUUAGAGAGAGAUUGUAACCCAAAAUCAUCAAAUACAUAAUAUUUGUUUGUGCGCGUUUGUUCUUGUCUCUUUCGUUUCAGGAAUUUUCCGUGUUCACAGUCAUAUUCCAACAACUCGGAUGUCCUUAUCAUUUUUAUUUUUGUUAAAAAAAAUGAAAAAGUUUGACAGUUAACCUGUAAAUGAAGUAUUUUAAAUUCAAAUCACAUAUGAAAAUUCACUACUAGCUAGGGAGACCUGGAGUAAUGAACACAAAAUAUCUUUUGUCAUGUUAUUACAAAGAGAGGUUUGAACAAAAAACUCAACCGUCAACCCACGCUCAUCUCAUGCUAUUUGAGAAAAGUCUUAUGGGUAACUUAUUGACAACGCACGACAAAAACAAACAAAAAAACUUAUUCACAACGAAUAAUUGGCUUGAUUUUAAGAAGAUGUAGCACAAGCAAGAGGCUUUGCCACGUUGUUAAUGGUGGGCUUAACAUGUUUACAUUUAGAGGUAAUAGAGCCUUUCUCUCCAGUGUAUGUGAGAUCAAUGUCACUCGGUUUCACAUUCUCACAUGGCAGCUUUCCACUACAUAAAAGCUUGAUACCAACUGGGCCUGAAGAUGGGACUUGGAUUGUCUGCCCUCCCAUUUCGGUGCCUUCUCCGUGCCCUCCUGUUUUGUGUGAUCACGGUUAAGCCACGUUAAUAUUUUAUAUUAUUUUUUUAUAAAAAUAAUAAAACAAAAAGAAAUAGUAAUAUAAAAUGUUGACGUGGCUUAACCGUGACCACAAAAACAGAAAGGCAUGAGGAGGGCACCACAAUUAGAGGGCAGACAAUCCAAAUCCCUGAAGAUGAGCCCUUUAUGUUCUUAAAGCUGACAUCACUGAUCUUAAUUUUGGAUGAAACCUGCACACAAUAAUAGUACCAUUAAAGUGUAAUUUUAAAGUGUAAUUUUAAUUACAAAAAUGUUUUAAUUAUAAAUAUGCCAAAAAAGUAAUUAAAAAUUCAAGUGUAAUUUUUUGGAAAACCACACAGGAGUUCUUCCUAAAGAAAUGUACUUCUUCAUAAAGUGCUUUUAAGUUUUUAUAUCAAACAUUGAUAGAAGUGUUAUUGGUCGACAUAAUUUUUUUUUAAACCUUUCAUAAACAAUCUCAAAUAGGCUGGUGAACUCAAGUAUCCAUUCAAAAUAGUGGAGAUUAGUGUCAAUAGAUCAAACGGUUAUCAAUUGUAUUCUAUUCUUCUAGCUAGAUUAAGUAUUUGACUAAGUAAUAAAGAAACAAUGAUGUUAAUUUGGUGUAAAAUGGUAUACCUCAGGUGUACACAGCUUAUGUGGGCAAUACUCUUGGUCUAUGACGACAGGGUUUUUAACAUUGUCCAUGAUAAUAUCCUCAAAGUGAACAUCUGAGACAACAGUACCCUUUGCAGGUAGGGAUGGGCAAAAUAUUCAUGGGUAUGGGUAACCGCGGUUACCUGCCCAUUUAAAGUUGAUGGUUAUGGUUAUGGAUAACCGUUUAAACAAAUAAACAGUUAUGGGUAUAACCGUUUAUCCAUGAAAUUUAAAUGGACGGUUAUGAGUAUUAUCCGCGGUUAUAACGGGUAUCCAUCGGUUAUGGUUAUUUGCAGGUGAAGCAGGCCAGGUUUUGAUCCUCACACCAUUAUCUGUAUUUGUAAUCGUGCAGUUCUUGAUAAAGAUUCCGGACACAGGUUCUUCAUCCUCAGUCCUUCCGAGGCUUCCGAUGCUUAUGCCGUG